GUAACUUCGGGAGAAGGGGUGCUUUCUUAACGGAAAGCCGCAGUGAAUAGGCCCAAGCGACUGUUUAGCAAAAACACAGCUCUCUGCGAAGCCGUAAGGCGAAGUAUAGGGGGUGACACCUGCCCGGUGCUGGAAGGUUAAGGAGAGGGGUUAGCGUAAGCGAAGCUCUGAACUGAAGCCCCAGUAAACGGCGGCCGUAACUAUAACGGUCCUAAGGUAGCGAAAUUCCUUGUCGGGUAAGUUCCGACCCGCACGAAAGGUGUAACGAUUUGGGCACUGUCUCAACCAGAGACUCGGUGAAAUUAUAGUACCUGUGAAGAUGCAGGUUACCCGCGACAGGACGGAAAGACCCCGUGGAGCUUUACUGUAGCCUGAUAUUGAAUUUUGGUACAGUUUGUACAGGAUAGGCGGGAGCCUUUGAAACCGGAGCGCUAGCUUCGGUGGAGGCGCUGGUGGGAUACCGCCCUGACUGUAUUGAAAUUCUAACCUACGGGUCUUAUCGACCCGGGAGACAGUGUCAGGUGGGCAGUUUGACUGGGGCGGUCGCCUCCUAAAGUGUAACGGAGGCGCCCAAAGGUUCCCUCAGAAUGGUUGGAAAUCAUUCGUAGAGUGCAAAGGCAUAAGGGAGCUUGACUGCGAGACCUACAAGUCGAGCAGGGACGAAAGUCGGGCUUAGUGAUCCGGUGGUUCCGCAUGGAAGGGCCAUCGCUCAACGGAUAAAAGCUACCCCGGGGAUAACAGGCUUAUCUCCCCCAAGAGUCCACAUCGACGGGGAGGUUUGGCACCUCGAUGUCGGCUCAUCGCAUCCUGGGGCUGUAGUCGGUCCCAAGGGUUGGGCUGUUCGCCCAUUAAAGCGGUACGCGAGCUGGGUUCAGAACGUCGUGAGACAGUUCGGUCCCUAUCCGUCGUGGGCGUAGGAAAUUUGAGAGGAGCUGUCCUUAGUACGAGAGGACCGGGAUGGACGCACCGCUGGUGUACCAGUUGUUCUGCCAAGGGCAUAGCUGGGUAGCUAUGUGCGGAAGGGAUAAGUGCUGAAAGCAUCUAAGCAUGAAGCCCCCCUCAAGAUGAGAUUUCCCAUAGCGUAAGCUAGUAAGAUCCCUGAAAGAUGAUCAGGUUGAUAGGUUCGAGGUGGAAGCAUGGUGACAUGUGGAGCUGACGAAUACUAAUAGAUCGAGGACUUAACCAUAUAA
Molecule: ribosomal RNA, 1190 nt
Filed under: Bacillus anthracis (anthrax bacterium)
Lineage: Bacteria; Bacillati; Bacillota; Bacilli; Caryophanales; Bacillaceae
Description: bacterial LSU rRNA
Rfam family: Bacterial large subunit ribosomal RNA
Source: RNAcentral